AUUGAACGCUGGCGGCAGGCCUAACACAUGCAAGUCGAGCGGAUGAAGGGAGCUUGCUCCUGGAUUCAGCGGCGGACGGGUGAGUAAUGCCUAGGAAUCUGCCUGGUAGUGGGGGAUAACGUCCGGAAACGGGCGCUAAUACCGCAUACGUCCUGAGGGAGAAAGUGGGGGAUCUUCGGACCUCACGCUAUCAGAUGAGCCUAGGUCGGAUUAGCUAGUUGGUGGGGUAAAGGCCUACCAAGGCGACGAUCCGUAACUGGUCUGAGAGGAUGAUCAGUCACACUGGAACUGAGACACGGUCCAGACUCCUACAGGAGGCAGCAGUGGGGAAUAUUGGACAAUGGGCGAAAGCCUGAUCCAGCCAUGCCGCGUGUGUGAAGAAGGUCUUCGGAUUGUAAAGCACUUUAAGUUGGGAGGAAGGGCAGUAAGUUAAUACCUUGCUGUUUGGACGUUACCAACAGAAUAAGCACCGGCUAACUUCGU
RNAcentral lists this ribosomal RNA (483 nucleotides) under uncultured bacterium. Its description in RNAcentral is "partial 16S ribosomal RNA". It matches the Rfam family "Bacterial small subunit ribosomal RNA", at positions 30 to 506 of the family's 1533-position model. The record is from RNAcentral.